This 497-nucleotide ribosomal RNA is filed under the name uncultured bacterium. RNAcentral's name for it is "partial 16S ribosomal RNA". It matches the Rfam family "Bacterial small subunit ribosomal RNA", at positions 28 to 507 of the family's 1533-position model. The record is from RNAcentral.
GAUGAACGCUGGCGGCGUGCCUAAUACAUGCACGUCGAGCGAACGGACGAGAAGCUUGCUUCUCUGAUGUUAGCGGCGGACGGGUGAGUAACACGUGGAUAACCUACCUAUAAGACUGGGAUAACUUCGGGAAACCGUAGCUAAUACCGGAUAAUAUUUUGAACCGCAUGGUUCAAAAGUGAAAGACGGUCUUGCUGUCACUUAUAGAUGGAUCCGCGCUGCAUUAGCUAGUUGGUAAGGUAACGGCUUACCAAGGCAACGAUGCAUAGCCGACCUGAGAGGGUGAUCGGCCACACUGGAACUGAGACACGGUCCAGACUCCUACGGGAGGCAGCAGUAGGGAAUCUUCCGCAAUGGGCGAAAGCCUGACGGAGCAACGCCGCGUGAGUGAUGAAGGUCUUCGGAUCGUAAAACUCUGUUAUUAGGGAAGAACAUAUGUGUAAGUAACUGUGCACAUCUUGACGGUACCUAAUCAGAAAGCCACGGCUAACUACGUG